CCUACGGGGGGCAGCAGUGAGGAAUAUUGGUCAAUGGGCGGAAGCCUGAACCAGCCAAGUAGCGUGCAGGAUGACGGCCCUACGGGUUGUAAACUGCUUUUAUACGGGAAUAACGCGCCUUACGUGUAGGGCUUUGCAUGUACCGUAGGAAUAAGGACGGGCUAAUUCCGUGCCAGAGGCCGCGGUAAUACGGAAGGUCCGGGCGUUAUCCGGAUUUAUUGGGUUUAAAGGGAGCGUAGGCCGCAUGACAAGCGUGCUGGGAAAGGUCCGGGCUCAACCCGGGCCUUGCAGCGCGAACUGGCGUGCUUGAGUCCGCGGAAAGCAGGCGGAAUUCGUCGUGUAGCGGUGAAAUGCUUAGAUAUGACGAAGAACCCCGAUUGCGAAGGCAGCUUGCUGCAGCGGAACUGACGCUGAUGCUCGAAAGCGCGGGUAUCGAACAGGAUUAGAUACCCUGGUAGUC
Molecule: ribosomal RNA, 460 nt
Filed under: uncultured bacterium
Lineage: Bacteria
Description: partial 16S ribosomal RNA
Rfam family: Bacterial small subunit ribosomal RNA
Source: RNAcentral